This 1688-nucleotide ribosomal RNA is filed under the name Hypselobarbus thomassi (red canarese barb). Its description in RNAcentral is "16S rRNA". It matches the Rfam family "Bacterial large subunit ribosomal RNA". Lineage: Eukaryota; Metazoa; Chordata; Actinopteri; Cypriniformes; Cyprinidae. The record is from RNAcentral.
GCCAAACAGCUAGCUUAACUAUUAAAAUAACCAAACAAUAUAAAUAAAUAAAACAAACCUAACACAACAAACUAAAACAUUCUUUUACCUGAGUAUGGGAGACAGAAAAGGUUCAACCAUAAAGCAAUAGAAACAGUACCGCAAGGGAAAGCUGAAAGAGAAAUGAAAUAACCCAUAUAAGCACCAAAAAGCAAAGAUUAAACCCUGUACCUUUCGCAUCAUGAUUUAGCCAGCCCACCCAAGCAAAGAGACCUUUAGUUUGAAACCCCGAAACCAGGUGAGCUACCCCGAGACAGCCUAUUAAGGGCCAACCCGUCUCUGUGGCAAAAGAGUGGGAAGAGCUCCGGGUAGAAGUGAUAGACCUACCGAACCUGGUGAUAGCUGGUUGCCUAAGAAAUGAAUAGAAGUUCAGCCUCAUAAACCUCAAAUCAAACAAACCAAGAUAUUCAAGAGAAAUACACGAGAGUUAGUUAAAAGGGGUACAGCCCCUUUAACAAAGGACACAACCUUAUCAGAAGGAUAAAGAUCAUAAUUUAUAAAACACUCUGUUCCAGUGGGCCUAAAAGCAGCCACCUAAACAGAAAGCGUUAAAGCUCAGACAGACAAAAGUUUAUUAUUCCGAUAAAAAAUCUUACUCCCCUAAAUAUUAUUAGGCCAACCCAUGCCAACAUGGAAAAGAUUAUGCUAAAAUGAGUAACAAGAAGACCCGCCCUUCUCCCGGCACAAGUGUAAGCCAGACUGGACAAACCACUGGCAACCAACGAACUCAACCCAAGAGAGCAUUGCGAACCAUACAUAAACUCAAGAAAACCCCGCAACUAAAAAAUCGUUACCCCCACACUGGAGUGCCACUUAGAGGAAAGACUAAAAGAAAAGAAAGGAACUCGGCAAACACAAGCCUCGCCUGUUUACCAAAAACAUCGCCUCCUGCAAUACAACCAAGUAUAGGAGGUCCAGCCUGCCCAGUGACUAUAAUGUUCAACGGCCGCGGUAUUUUGACCGUGCAAAGGUAGCGCAAUCACUUGUCUUUUAAAUAGAGACCUGUAUGAAUGGCCAAACGAGGGCUUAACUGUCUCCCUUUUCAAGUCAGUGAAAUUGAUCUGCCCGUGCAGAAGCGGACAUAAAAAUACAAGACGAGAAGACCCUUUGGAGCUUAAGGUACAAAACUCAACCACGUCAAGCAACUCAAUGAAAAGCAAAAACUUCGUGAAACAUGAGAUUUUACCUUCGGUUGGGGCGACCACGGAGGAAAAAAAAGCCUCCAAGUGGACUGGGACAAACUCCUAAAACCAAGAAAGACAUUUCUAAGCCACAGAAUAUCUGACCAAAUAUGAUCCGGCCAACAGAGCCGAUCAACGAACCAAGUUACCCUAGGGAUAACAGCGCAAUCCCCUCCCAGAGUCCAUAUCGACGAGGGGGUUUACGACCUCGAUGUUGGAUCAGGACAUCCUAAUGGUGCAGCCGCUAUUAAGGGUUCGUUUGUUCAACGAUUAAAGUCCUACGUGAUCUGAGUUCAGACCGGAGCAAUCCAGGUCAGUUUCUAUCUGUAACGCUACUUUUCCUAGUACGAAAGGAUCGGAAAAAGGGGGCCCAUACUCGAAGCACGCCCCACCCCCAAUUUAUGAAAACAAAUAAAUAAAGCAAGGGGUAGAGCCAAAACCCCAUUCAGUCAGCCGAAAUAAGGACAU